GUUGUAUAUCUUAGUUGCAGGUCCUUCUAGUUGUGGGAUGUGGGACACUGCCUCAACGUAGCCUGAUGAGCGGUGCCAUGUCCGUGCCCAGGAUCCCAACCCUGGGCCGCCGCAGCGGAGUGCACGAACUUAACCACUCGGCCACGAAGCCGGCCCCUCUUCCUGCCUUUUGAGGGGAGAGAGUAGCAUAAAUCUAAAUGCAUGUUGGGUAAAAGGUAUUCUGUUUUCCAAGACAGGAACUGUAUAAUCUGGAUCUGACAAUACUCAAAGCUGCCGCCGGUGAUUUUUUUCCCUAAAAUUCAUUCCCACCGCCCAGUUCCUCCCCGCGUGUAAAGCCAGUGCUGCCCUAGCGGCGGCUCCCUCAGCACGUCACCGUCACCCUCGGGCCACAUCGCCCAACACGGCUUUGUAUUCCUGCUGGUCAGCAUCAGCUCAUAACCCAGAAAUUCCUUAUUAAAUAUGGAAAUUAAAAUGGCUUUCCUGCUCCGUUAUCUCCGUUUCCUGUCACGUAAAUCAGGCGCUUUAAGGAUGCUCUCUACGACGCCUUCCAGCUGCCAAGACUGCUGGCCUCUGUUUUGUCAGAUGGGCCGGGCUGUGACUGCAGCUAUGCCCCCAAACAGCAAGCCAUCCUUCUAACACAAACGUUAUCCAUUUCAUUCAUUAGCUUAAUAAAUGCUGUGGCGAGAGUGACUGAAUUAAUUAAUGAGCGCCUCCUGGGUUCUGGCCCCUGGGAACACGCAGAUAAAUAAGACAGCUUCUGCCUGUGGAGCCCACACUCUGAAAGGGGACGCUGACGCAUAAACAGAUGUGCUGCUCAGUUUCACUUUGUUUUCAGUUAGUUUUACUUAUUAGGAUCAUAAAAACUUUAAUUUAUUCAGUGCCUACCCUGUGUCAAGUACGCUGUGGGGUGUUACAGAGCGAAUCCUCAUACUGGCUCUACAAAGAAGGUAUUAUUGACGCUAUUUUAAAGGUGUGUAAAUGAAGGCCAGCGAGUGACAGCACCUGGGUUUGGUUGACUCCUCGUCACCUGUGUGAUACAACUUUCAUGAGCGUUGCUGUUCCCGGAGAGCAGAGCUGGCUGGCACCGCGACCUGACCUCAGUGAAAGGCUGCGAGUGUGCUUGAUUAUGUUUUCAAUCCGCUCACUUAACCAACGGUUAUUGGGCAACUUCUCAACAUCCAACCCACACCGGACACUGGGGAUAAAAUUUAAAAGCUAAGCACUCUUCCAACCUGCUCCUGACGCAGGCAGUUUUAGUGAAGGAGAAAGAAGUGUCACUAAUAAUUACCAUGAAAUGGGACCAAUACUACGAUGUAAUAGCAGAGUGCCCCAGGAUUCCAGAGGACAGAGCGUCACCUCUGGGCUGGAGCAGGCAGCGAAGGCGGCCAUUGAGCUGAGUCUCGAAGGAUGGAUAGGAGUUUACCAGGCGGAAGGAAGGAGAAGGACGUCCCAAGCGGAGGGAACACAAAGCGCGCCAGUCUAAGGAUGUGGAGAGAAUGCUGCAUUGGGGAACGAAGAGAAUCGGUGUGCUGAGAGCAGGGGGGGCGAGCGAGACUCGAGGACGAUGGAGCUGGCUGGAGAGGUCGGCGGGUGGUGAUGCUGUUAACUGAAGUGGGAAGAGGACCUCUUUGCUCAUGACGGGCAGAGAAGGUGUCUGGACAGGAGGACUUGGCGUAUUUGUCGGAAACGUCCAGGUGAAGUCUCGUUCAGAACUAUCCUAUGACUGAGGGAGAUUUUUCUGGGGGGAUAGUGACAUCAUCUGAUUCGUCUUUUAACCGGGGAGCCCUGGCUAUACAUCAGAACAGCACGGGGAGCUGUAAAAAAUCCUGAUGCCUAACGCUGCACACCAGAUCAAUUACACAAGAAUUCCUGGGAGUGGGACCCAGGCGUUGGCAUUUUUAAAAACUCUCCAACUGAUUCCAAGGUGCAGCCAAGGUUGAGACCCACUGGUGCGGAGAAUACUUCCAGAGAAGAAAGAAUUGGCGGCUGGGAGGCCAGUUGGCGGACUGACUACUGGGAAGGCCUGCAGGACACUGCCAGGGCGGUGGUCCUGGAACUUCAGUGUCAGGGUCACCAGGAGGGCUUGUUAAAACACAGACUCUCGGGGCCCCCGCCCCCAGCUUCAGGCUCGGCAGGUCUGGGGUGGGCCCAAGAAUGUGCAUUUUGAACCUUUUCCCGAGUGAGGCUGUGCUGCCGGCACAGGGCCUACACGCUGAGAUGCAAAGGUCUGUGGGCUGGCAGUGGAGACGGAGAGGAGGACACACACCGCAAGGUGUUUUGGCGGCAGGGAGAGGGGGUCAGGCAACUGGGCGGGUGGUGAUGCUGUUAACUGAAGUGGGAAGAGGACCUCUUUGCUCAUGACGGGCAGAGAAGGUGUCUGGACAGGAGGACGACGUAUUUGUCGGAAACGUCCAGGUGAAGGCACCUCGGCGGCAGCUGGGAAUACUUUUCCAGCCAUCAGGAAGAAGUAGGCAAACUUGGGGACAAAUCAGGACCUCAGAUUUAGUCUAAAUUCAAGGUAAAUAUGGACCGAUGACUGUAUAUAGCUUGAGAAUAUAUAUUGCUUCUAUUGGAGCCAUUUUUUUCUGGUGACAAUGCGUUUAAUCCAUAAGAGACUAUGAUGAUUUUUUUUUAGCCACUCUGUGAAAAAAAGACCCACAUUAUACACGAGAUAUUAAAGCUGGUUGUUAAGUAUACGUAGGUCAGAUGUUUGAAUUGCCUCCACCAGGGUUUUUCCAUUUAUCUUCACACGUGAAUUUGAAAAGCAAAUGUCACCUUAUUUCUUUAUUAUAUUGAUGGUUAUCAUGUUUUCCGCUUAUUCGUGAGGAGAGUCCACGGCGUCUGGCUGAGCCUCAGUUUCCCCAGUGGUAAACAAAGGGAUUGGAUUAGUGACGGCCAAGGACCUUUCUAACCCCAGUGUUCUGUGAGUUUGCCUUCGAUUCUGUGUCAGUUUUGCCAGAAAGAUCUCCAGGAGCUGGUAACACCCGGAAAGUUUUUUUGCCUGUUUUAAUUUAACUUUUUUAGAGUACAUUUCUAUCAAAAAAUAGUAAGGCCCUAUUGUCAGAGCUGUGUCUUAAAGGCAUUUCUAAACUUGUUUCUUUUUCCUCACUUGACAAGUGCUGUCUCGGGGCUCCAUCACUCCUGGACUAACAGCUACCAAUAAACAGAAGAUGAUUUCCAACCAGCUAACACGCUGUUUACUUUCCAGAGAAAUUGGACUUUCCACUCUGACAGUUAAAAGAAAACUGUGAUGAUUCAGGAAUUUGCCCCUCGGGACAGGUGAUCCCAACCUUGGGUCAGGAGUGUAGGCUGACGUUCCACAGCAUCAUCUCACUUCCCUGGCUAGUGGUUUAAGAGUGGACGUGUGACAGUCUCAUGGUGAGAUGUGAAGACAAUGGUGCUGUCUUCUAAAAAGAAGCCCACAGGAAGAGAUAUCUCUUCUUCAACUGGAUCUUAUUGGACCUCAAGCGAUGCCUGGAACAGGGGCAGCAUCUUGUGACCACGAUAGGAACCUGGAAACUGAGGUGAUGAAGGUCACUGAAGAUGCAGUGAAGAAAGAUGGAAGGAACCUGGGUUGUUGAUGCUGUCGCUGACCCAUCAGGUUAAUCAAUGUUGGAACGCCUACUUCUAGACUUCUGAAGUGAAAUAAUAUCCUCGUGGAUUAAGCCAUUGAAUUGGGGUUUUCAAUUUCUUACAGCCCAAAACAUCCUGUCCCUUCUGUCUUUCUCUCACAUGAGGCUGUCUUCUUUUCACCCCCAUGACUGCCUGCCUGGCAGAUUAACUGUCACCUCUUCUAUGAUAGGGCAGACUGGUAUGUCAUCACUGGAUCUUGCAUUUAUUUCCAUCUAACUCUCCAUUAGACGAUAAGAUCCUUGGGGGAACUUUAAUUUUUGUAUUUCUAGUGUCUAGAUGUUUGCUGAAUGAAUUAAUGAAUACAUGGGAAGGAUUACUUCAUAUCUUGGUUCAGUUUUGGGCUCCAACAAGAUUUUCUUGUAAUAUCCAAUGACAAUUCUUAUAAUAGAAACAAUUGUUUACAAAGACGUUAACAAACUUAAAUGAAUUCAUUAAGAGAGAGAGCACCUCAGAUCUUUACUAGGUGCCCAUUAAUCUACACACGGAUAGAGAGGAGUGAGAAGGAGAAAAUGUGGGCAGACUCACAGAGGAUGGACUGAGAGAAACCACUCUGGGAAUUCAUUUAUGAAAAGUGUCAAGAGUAACAAAAAGAUGUCAAUCCUCUGCUUCAAUGUAACCUUCAGGAAAAGACCUUCUGAGCGUCGGGUCUAAGAAAUGUAACUGCUCAGCACUAUUUAUUUUCUUCCGGAAGGCAACCUCCACUGGAUGCUCCCAGAGAUUUCUUUUUAAAAAGGCAAAACCUUUUGAGAAUAACUCCAAGGUGGUAUUAGAGGUGCACUAAAACCUCAAGAAAUGUUAGAUAUCAUGACCAACUCUCAUAAAAAUCCCACCCCCUCUGUCAGCCCUGUUCAACAACACUUUCUGCAAUGAUGGAAAUUUCUACAUCUGCAUCGUGCAUCGUGGCAGCCACGAGCCCCACGUGGCUAUUGAGCCCUUAAAAUGUGGUUAGUGUGACUGGGGAACUGAAUUUUUAACUUAAUUAAAUUUAAAUUUAAAUAUAAAUCGUAACAUGAAGCUAGUAACUACCAUGUCGGACAGUGCGGGGCUGUGUUUUGUGUGGCCCAGUACUAGUCAGGAUAGGCUUGGCUAUAUACUGCAGUAAUAAAUAACCCCCAAAUAUUAGUGGCUUGAAAUAAAGUUUUAUUUCUCCUUCCCACUCUACAUUCAUCACAUGUCAUCGAGGGGUUCUGCUCCACAUCUUCUCCUUUUGGGACCAUCUUGAAUGUUGCUGCUCACUAUAACAGAGGGAAAAACAAAAAGAAAUCUGGACGGGCUUGUACUGGCAAUCAAAGGAAUGCUUGGCUCAGAAGUGACACAUAUCACUUCCACUCAUUGGCCAGCUCAUCGUGCAGCCUUGUCCUCCCACCAGAGGGCCAGGAAAUGCCACCCAAUUAUGGAGCCCGGGAGGCAAAAAUACUAGGUGAGUAGCACUAGUGAUGGAAUAAAUAAGCAUCACUAAAAUAACUAAUACAUCAAAUUGAACAGAAAGAAAUUAGGUCUUUAAAAGUCAGGUGCACGUCUAUACAAGAGAACCAACAGAAAAACGUGGGAGGAAAAAAAUAUGCACAAACACCAGGAAUGCUCCUUUUACAAAAGCAAGGAAGGAAGGAAGAUUGGAAUGAUGGUUUGAUGUUUUAUAUAUAAUUUUUAUUAAGCUUUUGAAUAGGUAAAUCCAUUAACUAAAGGAGAAAAAGAAGGAAGCCCAAGCAUCCUUUAUCUUCCAUUAUAAUUAAAGAGGGUAGUUUUGUCAAUUUAUAUUUUUAAAACAAUCCUUGAAAAAACAAGUCUACCCACUCUUGCCACAAUAGAAUCUUACUGAAAUUCCAAGUAUAGUCUAGCCACAGCUGUUCAAAAGUCUUUAUUAGACAAUCUCGGAAUGAGACGGGACCUUAGAGGUCAGCUGUUCCAAUCUCCAAAACGGGCCUCCCUCCUACAGCUUUCCAUAUAUUCGGGGUGCAGAGGAAGUCCACUACUGCGUGGGAGCUCAUUCCACGGGUGGGCGGGUGAAACUGUUUGAGAACUCUUCCCGAGGCAUCAAAAGUAGCACCUCUGAGUUUUCAAUGUACUUGUCCUGGCUCCGCAGCCACCCGGCAGAGGGCCAGCCCCUUUGCUCUCUAGAACCCUCAGCCCUCUGGAGGGAAUUCCUCUGCCCCCUGAGCUUCUCUUCCCGUGCCUUGGUCUCCAGGCCCUCUAUUCUCCCAGAAGCCCUCCUUAGAGCAUGCAACACAGAGUUGGGGUUGGGGGCGGGCACAGCACGGACUUUGAGGACAGAGUCGAAGCAUCAAAUCCUAGCUACUUAAACCGACCCUGUGUUCUUCUCUGCAGAGGGGAGCAGCUAUACCUACCUCUUAGUCUUGUUAAGAGGAGUAAAUAGGAUUAGAUCUGUAAACCAGCAGAUGCACAAUAAAUACUUCAGUAUGAUGUUUCUCUUAAAGUGUGGUGCGCAGAGGAAACUUAACAAUGAUUUAGAUGUGAUCUGAUCAGUGGAGAGUAAACCAUUUCCCUCCUCUGAGACGCUCUCUUAUUCCUUCCUGUAUAUCACCUAAAAGUAUUAGCAUUAUCUUUUGUGGGCAGCCAGACAUACCAUACUUAAAAAGUGCUGAUUUCCACUAAGUUACAGCCUUACUUAACUUGUUGACAUUUUAAGCCUAAAGUCUAAAAGAUCAAAUCAGAUGAAAUUUGAUAAGAAUAAAUGUUAUGUUGGCUUGUUGCUC
Molecule: long non-coding RNA, 6347 nt
Filed under: Equus asinus (donkey)
Lineage: Eukaryota; Metazoa; Chordata; Mammalia; Perissodactyla; Equidae
Description: lncRNA (ENSEASG00005036680.1)
Source: RNAcentral